This 420-nucleotide ribosomal RNA is filed under the name uncultured bacterium. RNAcentral describes it as "bacterial SSU rRNA". It matches the Rfam family "Bacterial small subunit ribosomal RNA", at positions 356 to 773 of the family's 1533-position model. The record is from RNAcentral.
AAGGAAUAUUGGGCAAUGGACGCAAGUCUGACCCAGCCAUGCCGCGUGAAGGAUGACGGCCCUAUGGGUUGUAAACUUCUUUUGUACGGGAAAAAACCUUCGAACGUGUUCGAAGCUGAUGGUACCGUAAGAAUAAGCAUCGGCUAACUCCGUGCCAGCAGCCGCGGUAAUACGGAGGAUGCAAGCGUUAUCCGGAUUCAUUGGGUUUAAAGGGUGCGUAGGCGGGAUAAUAAGUCAGUGGUGAAAGCCUACAGCUUAACUGUAGAACUGCCAUUGAUACUGUUAACCUUGAGUACAAUUGAAGUGGGCGGAAUGUGUCAUGUAGCGGUGAAAUGCUUAGAUAUGACACAGAACACCGAUAGCGAAGGCAGCUCACUAAACUGUAACUGACGCUGAGGCACGAAAGCGUGGGGAUCAAAC